This 81-nucleotide small nucleolar RNA is filed under the name Schizosaccharomyces cryophilus OY26. RNAcentral's name for it is "small nucleolar RNA R38". It matches the Rfam family "Small nucleolar RNA R38". From Rfam's summary of the family: snoR38 is a C/D box small nucleolar RNA conserved across yeast, human, Arabidopsis and rice. It is encoded in the intron of elongation factor-1 gamma in both pombe and cerevisiae. snoR38 guides the methylation of 2'-O-ribose sites in 28S rRNA. Lineage: Eukaryota; Fungi; Ascomycota; Schizosaccharomycetes; Schizosaccharomycetales; Schizosaccharomycetaceae. The record is from Rfam by way of RNAcentral.
GCUUGUUAAUGAUGAGAAUAAUUUUUUUUACAGUUAUCCCUGUCUAAAACAUAGUGUUGAGAAUGGUAAAUCUGAAUUUGC